RNAcentral lists this non-coding RNA (31 nucleotides) under Mus musculus (house mouse). Lineage: Eukaryota; Metazoa; Chordata; Mammalia; Rodentia; Muridae. The record is from RNAcentral.
UGAAAUAAAGGCUAUACUGUUUGAUUGGAUU